This is a non-coding RNA of Podarcis lilfordi (Lilford's wall lizard), 91 nucleotides long. NCBI's taxonomy places the organism in Eukaryota, Metazoa, Chordata, Lepidosauria, Squamata, Lacertidae. The record is from the annotation of a GenBank genome assembly.
AAGUUAGUUAUUGGUGUGCGCUUUCGUGUGCAUGCACACUUCUUCAGAAGAAGUGUGCAUGCACACGAAAGUUCAUACCAAUAACUAACUU